UCCGGUUUGUCACCGGCAGUCACCUUAGAGUGCCCAACUAAAUGCUGGCAACUAAGAUCAAGGGUUGCGCUCGUUGCGGGACUUAACCCAACAUCUCACGACACGAGCUGACGACAGCCAUGCACCACCUGUGCAUCACCCUCGAAGGCGACGCCUUUUCGGACGCUUGCAGAUGCAUGUCAAGCCCUGGUAAGGUUCUUCGCGUUGCAUCGAAUUAAGCCACAUGCUCCACCGCUUGUGCGGGCCCCCGCCAAUUCCUUUGAGUUUCAACCUUGCGGCCGUAGUCCCCAGGCGGUUCACUUAAUGCGUUAGCUGCGGCACCGAGGGAUACCCCCCAACACCUAGUGAACAUCGUUUAUGGCCAAGACUAC
Molecule: unclassified non-coding RNA, 371 nt
Filed under: uncultured bacterium
Lineage: Bacteria
Description: contains 16S-23S intergenic spacer region
Source: RNAcentral